RNAcentral lists this ribosomal RNA (600 nucleotides) under Melissococcus plutonius. Its description in RNAcentral is "partial 16S ribosomal RNA". It matches the Rfam family "Bacterial small subunit ribosomal RNA", at positions 55 to 634 of the family's 1533-position model. The record is from RNAcentral. Lineage: Bacteria; Bacillati; Bacillota; Bacilli; Lactobacillales; Enterococcaceae.
ANGUACGCUUCUUCUGAUUAAGCUUGCUUANUAGGUAAAGAANAGUGGCGGACGGGUGAGUAACACGAUGGGCNACCUGCCCAUCAGGAAGGGGAUAACACUUGGCAAACAGGUGCUANUACCGUAUAAGACUUUUUUUCGCAUGAAGAGGAGUUAAAANGCGCUUUCGGGUGUCACUGAUGGAUGGGCCCGCGGUGCAUUAUCUAUUUGNUGGGGUAAAGGCUCACCANGGCAACGAUGCAUANCCNACCUGAGAGGGUGAUCGGCCACNCUGGGACUGAGACACGGCCCANACUCCUACGGNAGGCANCNNUANGGAAUCUUCNGCAAUGGACGAAAGUCUGACCGANCAACGCCNCGUGAGUGAANAAGGUUUUCGGAUCGUANAACUCUGUUGUUAGAGAAGAAUANGGGAAAGAGUAACUGUUUUCCUCGUGACGGUAUCUAACCAUAAAGCCACGGCUAACUACGUGCCACCANCCGCGGUAAUACGUANGUGGCAAGCGUUGUCCGGAUUUAUUGGGCGUAAAGCGAGCGCANGCGGUUUUUUAAGUCUGAUGUGAAAGCCCCCGGCUCAACCGGGGAGGGUCAUUGGAAACU